RNAcentral lists this ribosomal RNA (466 nucleotides) under uncultured bacterium. Its description in RNAcentral is "SSU rRNA". It matches the Rfam family "Bacterial small subunit ribosomal RNA", at positions 26 to 521 of the family's 1533-position model. The record is from RNAcentral.
AGAAUCAACGCUGGCGGCGCGCCUAACACAUGCAAGUCGAACGAGAAAGUGGAGCAAUCCAUGAGUAAAGUGGCGUACGGGUGAGUAACACGUGGAUUAUCUGCCCUUUUGUGGGGAAUACCGCUGGGAAACCGGCGACAAUACCGCAUAAGCUCGAGAGAGGAAAGCCCGCAAGGGCGCAGAAGGAGGAGUCCGCGGUCGAUUAGUUAGUUGGCAGGGUAAAGGCCUACCAAGACUGUGAUCGAUAGCCGGCCUGAGAGGGCACACGGCCGACACUGGCACUGAAACACGGGCCAGACUCCUACGGGAGGCAGCAGUGGGGAAUCUUGCACAAUGGGGGAAACCCUGAUGCAGCGACGCCGCGUGAGCGAUGAAGCCCCUCGGGGUGUAAAGCUCUUUCGGCAGGGAAGAUUAUGACGGUACCUGCAAAAGCAGCUGCGGCUAACUACGUGCCAGCAGCCGCGGU